Molecule: long non-coding RNA, 184 nt
Organism: Nothoprocta perdicaria
Lineage: Eukaryota; Metazoa; Chordata; Aves; Tinamiformes; Tinamidae
Exons: 3
Source: RefSeq, a predicted model, not a curated record
AAUCCUAAUCCUGGCCUCUGAAGUACUUGCCGCCUGUCCCGUCCUGGUAUCAGCAGUGAUUUUAACUGAACUAAAUCCCGGGCCAACCGAAGAGACGCGCCGUCAAAGCUGCAGCCGGUCGAGUUCGCUAAAUGUGGGAAAUACUUUUCCAAAGCCUUUGAACUCCAAAGUGGAACAGAAGGAA